AGAAUUUUUCUCAAUGGGCGCAAGCCUGAAGGAGCGACGCCGCGUGGGGGAUGAAGGGUUUCGAUCCGUAAACCCCUGUCAUUCGUGAACAAUGGUUAUCCAUGAAUAGUGGAUGACUUGAUAGUAACGGAAGAGGAAGUGACGGCUAACUAUGUGCCAGCAGCCGCGGUAAUACAGAGGUCCCGAGCGUUGUUCGGAUUCACUGGGCGUAAAGGGUGCGUAGGUGGCAUGGUAAGUUUGAUGUGAAAGCUCAGGGCUUAACCCUGAAAUGGCAUUGAAUACUACGGUGCUGGAGGUUUGGAGGGGGGACUGGAAUUCUUGGUGUAGCAGUGAAAUGCGUAGAUAUCAAGAGGAACACCAGUGGCGAAGGCGAGUCCCUGGACAACACCUGACACUGAGGCACGAAAGCUAGGGGAGCAAAC
Molecule: ribosomal RNA, 422 nt
Filed under: uncultured bacterium
Lineage: Bacteria
Description: bacterial SSU rRNA
Rfam family: Bacterial small subunit ribosomal RNA
Source: RNAcentral